GCGGGUAUAGCUCAGUGGUAGAGUAUGUGCUUAGCAUGCGCAAAGUCCUGGGUUCAAUUCCCAGUACCUCCA
This 72-nucleotide transfer RNA is filed under the name Camelus bactrianus (Bactrian camel). It matches the Rfam family "tRNA". From Rfam's summary of the family: Transfer RNA (tRNA) molecules are approximately 80 nucleotides in length. Their secondary structure includes four short double-helical elements and three loops (D, anti-codon, and T loops). RNAcentral also lists the same sequence under 2 other names. Lineage: Eukaryota; Metazoa; Chordata; Mammalia; Artiodactyla; Camelidae. The record is from Rfam by way of RNAcentral.